RNAcentral lists this ribosomal RNA (429 nucleotides) under Chloroflexota bacterium. RNAcentral describes it as "Chloroflexi bacterium partial 16S ribosomal RNA". It matches the Rfam family "Bacterial small subunit ribosomal RNA", at positions 355 to 776 of the family's 1533-position model. Lineage: Bacteria; Bacillati; Chloroflexota. The record is from RNAcentral.
UGGGGAAUAUUGCACAAUGGGCGCAAGCCUGAUGCAGCCAUGCCGCGUGUGUGAAGAAGGCCUUCGGGUUGUAAAGCACUUUCAGCGGGGAGGAAGGCGUUAAGGUUAAUAACCUUGGCGAUUGACGUUACCCGCAGAAGAAGCACCGGCUAACUCCGUGCCAGCAGCCACGGUAAUCCGGAGGGUGCAAGCGUUAAUCGGAAUUACUGGGUGUAAAGCGCACGCAGGCGGUCUGUCAAGUCGGAUGUGAAAUCCCCGGGCUCAACCUGGGAACUGCAUUCGAAACUGGCAGGCUAGAGUCGUGUAGAGGGGGGUAGAAUUCCAGGUGUAGCGGGGAAAUGCGUAGAGAUCUGGAGGAAUACCGGUGGCGAAGGCGGCCCCCUGGACAAAGACUGACGCUCAGGUGCGAAAGCGUGGGGAGCAAACAGG